RNAcentral lists this ribosomal RNA (471 nucleotides) under uncultured Anaerolineaceae bacterium. Its description in RNAcentral is "bacterial SSU rRNA". It matches the Rfam family "Bacterial small subunit ribosomal RNA", at positions 897 to 1382 of the family's 1533-position model. Lineage: Bacteria; Bacillati; Chloroflexota; Anaerolineae; Anaerolineales; Anaerolineaceae. The record is from RNAcentral.
AAACUCAAAGGAAUUGACGGGGACCCGCACAAGCAGCGGAGCGUGUGGUUUAAUUCGUUGCUACACGAAGAACCUUACCUGGGUUUGACAUAUAGGUUGUAGGGAACUGAAAGGGACCGACCCUUCGGGGAGCCUAUACAGGUGUUGCAUGGCUGUCGUCAGCUCGUGUCGUGAGAUGUUCGGUUAAGUCCGCUAACGAGCGCAACCCUCGUCGUAUGUUAUAUGUGUCAUACGAGACUGCCGGUAAAAAGCCGGAGGAAGGUGAGGAUGAUGUCAAGUCAGCAUGACCUUUAUAUCCAGGGCUACACACACGCUACAAUGGUCUGUACAAUGGGUAGCCAAGCCGCGAGGCGGAGCCAAUCCUGAAAGCAGGCCUCAGUUCAGAUUGCAGUCUGCAACUCGACUGCAUGAAGCCGGAGUUGCUAGUAACCGCAGGUCAGCAAUACUGCGGUGAAUACGUUCCCGGGUCUU